This 599-nucleotide ribosomal RNA is filed under the name Marinobacter salsuginis. Its description in RNAcentral is "bacterial SSU rRNA". It matches the Rfam family "Bacterial small subunit ribosomal RNA", at positions 95 to 690 of the family's 1533-position model. The record is from RNAcentral. Lineage: Bacteria; Pseudomonadati; Pseudomonadota; Gammaproteobacteria; Pseudomonadales; Marinobacteraceae.
GCGGCGGACGGGUGAGUAAUGCAUAGGAAACUGCCCAGUAGUGGGGGAUAGCCCGGGGAAACCCGGAUUAAUACCGCGUACGCCCUUCGGGGGAAAGCAGGGGAUCUUCGGACCUUGCGCUAUUGGAUGUGCCUAUGUCGGAUUAGCUAGUUGGUGGGGUAAAGGCCUACCAAGGCGACGAUCCGUAGCUGGUCUGAGAGGAUGAUCAGCCACAUCGGGACUGAGACACGGCCCGAACUCCUACGGGAGGCAGCAGUGGGGAAUAUUGGACAAUGGGGGCAACCCUGAUCCAGCCAUGCCGCGUGUGUGAAGAAGGCUUUCGGGUUGUAAAGCACUUUCAGUGAGGAGGAAAAGUUGGUCGUUAAUACCGGCCAGCCUUGACGUUACUCACAGAAGAAGCACCGGCUAACUCCGUGCCAGCAGCCGCGGUAAUACGGAGGGUGCAAGCGUUAAUCGGAAUUACUGGGCGUAAAGCGCGCGUAGGUGGUUUGAUAAGCGAGAUGUGAAAGCCCCGGGCUUAACCUGGGAACGGCAUUUCGAACUGUCAGGCUAGAGUAUGGUAGAGGAGUGUGGAAUUUCCUGUGUAGCGGUGAAAUGCG